UCUGCAACCCGACUUGAGUGGAAAUCCUUUUUGUGAGCUUACAAAAAGAUUGGGAACGGAAGGCGGAAGAGUUG
RNAcentral lists this small RNA (74 nucleotides) under Halpernia frigidisoli. RNAcentral describes it as "Chryseobacterium frigidisoli Flavo-1 RNA". The record is from RNAcentral. Lineage: Bacteria; Pseudomonadati; Bacteroidota; Flavobacteriia; Flavobacteriales; Weeksellaceae.